This 440-nucleotide ribosomal RNA is filed under the name uncultured bacterium. RNAcentral describes it as "partial 16S ribosomal RNA". It matches the Rfam family "Bacterial small subunit ribosomal RNA", at positions 338 to 795 of the family's 1533-position model. The record is from RNAcentral.
CCUACGGGAGGCAGCAGUGGGGAAUAUUGCACAAUGGGGGAAACCCUGAUGCAGCGACGCCGCGUGAGUGAAGAAGUAUUUCGGUAUGUAAAGCUCUAUCAGCAGGGAAGAAAAUGACGGUACCUGAUUAAGAAGCCCCGGCUAACUAAGUGCCAGCAGCCGCGGUAAUACGUAGGGGGCAAGCGUUAUCCGGAUUUACGGGGUGUAAAGGGGGCGUAGACGGCAGCACUAGGUUGGAGUGAAAUGCCGGGGCUUAACCCCGGAACUGCUUUGGAAACUGUGCAGCUAGAGUGCAGGAGAGGUAAGUGGAAUUCCUAGUGUAGCGGUGAAAGGCGUAGAUAUUAGGAGGAACACCAGUGGCGAAGGCGGCUUACUGGACUGUAACUGACGUUGAGGCUCGAAAGCGUGGGGAGCAAACAGGAUUAGAUACCCCAGUAGUC